GGUGCCGCCUGUCAACAAAACCCAACCAGUAGCCGGAGGACACUGGAACCGAGAUGGAAACCAAGGCACAGAACUACUGUGACUUUCCCAGAACCUCAGACCUAGACUGGUUUGCACCUUGAACUUGAUUCCAGGAUAUGGAUUCAUGAAAUGUUAGUCAUCAUAUUUCAUACUGAGAAAGGUCCUGGAAGGAUCAUCCAGACCAACGAUUUUUAUUUCUCUGAGCAUAAAACUGAGACCUGUUUUAUGAUUUAUCUAAUAUCACAAACAGUUGGUGACAGAAGUAGGAAAUACAGCUGAGGCCAAAACUCAUUCUGAACAGCAAAUGAAAACAGAUACUUUUGGCCGGGCAUGGUGGCUCAUGCGUGUAAUCUCAGCACUUUGGGAGGCUGAGGCAGGCAGAUUACCUGAGAUUGAGAGUUUGAGACCAGCCUGACCAACAUGGAGAAACCCCGUCUCUGCUAAAAAUACAAAAAAAUUAGCCGGGCAUGGUGGUGCAUGCCUAUAAUCCCAGCUACUCAGGAGGCUGAGGCAGGAGAAUCGCUUGAACCCAGGAGGCAGAGGUUGCGGUGAGCCGAGAUCGUGCCAUUGCACUCCAGCCUGGGUAACAAGAGCGAAACUCCGUCUCAAAAAAAUAAAAAAAAAAGAAAGAAAGAAAACAGAUACUUUCAUCGAAUCCAUUAUGUGCCAGGCACUAUUCUAAGAGCUUCACAACAAGCCUAUGAAAUAGGUGCUACCACUCUUUACAGAUGAAGAACGGAUGCAAGUUCACACAAGCAGUGCAUUUCAGAGUUGAAAUCAGAAACUAUAUAGUUUAGAUCCAGAGACUUGCUGCACUUAAGGAACACACUGAACAAGGGAAGUUCUAGAAUUGGGCAGACCUGGACUUCUGUCCUUGGGCAUAUCACUUAAGUUCUCUGAAUCUUCUCUUACUCAUCUGUUAAAUGGCCAUAUUUCACAUGAGUGUAAAAUGGAGUAAAUUAGGUAAGUCCUAUAAAGCCCUGAGCAAAAAUUCUCAAUCAAUAUUAGUGUUGAAUUAAGUUUCACUUAAAGCUGCCUCCUUGCAUAUUUUAAGUUCACCCUGACAGUUUUUCUGUACAUAGUAAACUAUAACCUAACUGGAUGUGUAAACAGACUGUAACCUACUCCUGUGCCACUCACAGUUUUGGCCAAUCAAAGGUGGCCAACCAUUCAAACCAUGUUAAAAUAAGGCAAAUGCUGGGCUGUAACCAACACUUCCAUUUCUGUACCUCACUUCUGUUUUUUAUAGGUCAUUUUCCUUUUUCUGUCCAUAAAUCUUCUACCAGGCAGCUGCACCGGAGUCUCUCUGAGGCCACUCUGGCUCGGAAGUCUGCCUGAUUGGUGAAUAAUUCUUUGCUCAAUUAAACUCUACUAAAUUUAAUUUGUCUAAGGUUUUUCUUUUAACAUUAGCUACUGAUGUCACUAUUAAUAUUAGCUAGUGAUGACAACAGUUCUCCGGAAUCCACCCUAGUCCUGUGGUCAUUUUUAGAUUUCUGGUUCUCUGACCACUACAUUGCUAAUCCUCCUUCUAGUAAAUUUUCAUCUACCUUGAACUUCCUUACACACUAUUCCCCCUAAACGUUGUUCCAGUUGAGUGCCCAGCCAGAAAGAUUAAAGCUCUCCCUGCUGAAAUCUCCUUUCCCUCCAGCAGGAAACCAGUGUAGUUAUGUUGUUUGUACUUGCCAGGAUACACUUCCAUUUCAUAUUUGCAAGUACACAUAAAGGUAUCCUUCAUCAGCAGCACAGUGCUUCCUUUCCUCUGAAUCUGCCAUCAGCUCAGGCAGAUUUCUAAGCAGCAAAUCAGCCUUUGCCAGAACACUGCAGGACACCAGUGCAGCGCCCAGCCUGCGACCAUGAGCUCGCCUGCACCCAGGUGAUUAAAAAGCUUUAUUGCUCACACAAAGCCUGUUUGGUGGUCUCUUCACAUGGACGCGAGUGACAUUUGGUGCCGUGACUCGGAUCGGGGAACCUCCCUUGGGAGAUCAAUCCCCUGUCCUCCUGCUCUUUGUUCCAAGAGAAAGAUCCACCUACGACCUCUGCUCCUCAGACCAACCAGCCCAAGGAACAUCUCACCAAUUUUAAAUCGGGCUCUAGGGGAUGGUAGAGUCACAGGAUGGAAGAACUCUGUGUCCUUGAAUCAUUGCAUGGAAGAGAACUGGAAGUUGCCCAGGAACACCAGCCUUGGACAGUU
This 2212-nucleotide long non-coding RNA is filed under the name Homo sapiens (human). RNAcentral describes it as "HSALNT0166063". The record is from RNAcentral. Lineage: Eukaryota; Metazoa; Chordata; Mammalia; Primates; Hominidae.